GUGGGGAAUAUUGGACAAUGGGCGAAAGCCUGAUCCAGCCAUGCCGCGUGUGUGAAGAAGGUCUUCGGAUUGUAAAGCACUUUAAGUUGGGAGGAAGGGCAGUAAGUUAAUACCUUGCUGUUUUGACGUUACCGACAGAAUAAGCACCGGCUAACUUCGUGCCAGCAGCCGCGGUAAUACGAAGGGUGCAAGCGUUAAUCGGAAUUACUGGGCGUAAAGCGCGCGUAGGUGGUUCAGCAAGUUGGAGGUGAAAUCCCCGGGCUCAACCUGGGAACUGGCUCCAAAACUAAUGAGCUAGAGUACGGUAGAGGGUAGUGGAAUUUCCUGUGUAGCGGUGAAAUGCGUAGAUAUAGGAAGGAACACCAGUGGCGAAGGCGACUACCUGGACUGAUACUGACACUGAGGUGCGAAAGCGUGGGGAGCAAACAGGAUUAGAAACCCUUGUAGUCC
This 450-nucleotide ribosomal RNA is filed under the name uncultured bacterium. RNAcentral's name for it is "partial 16S ribosomal RNA". It matches the Rfam family "Bacterial small subunit ribosomal RNA", at positions 354 to 796 of the family's 1533-position model. The record is from RNAcentral.